This 103-nucleotide non-coding RNA is filed under the name unclassified sequences. RNAcentral's name for it is "NiCo sequence". It matches the Rfam family "NiCo (Nickel/Cobalt) riboswitch aptamer". The record is from RNAcentral.
ACAGUACAAACUGAACAGGCAAUACGGCUUUCCGGGAGAAAGCGUAUGUGGCCGGGUCGUAAAGCGACAGCAGAAGAAGCAAAAGCGCAUCUGCGGGACGGUG